RNAcentral lists this ribosomal RNA (710 nucleotides) under Roseovarius sp. RNAcentral describes it as "bacterial SSU rRNA". It matches the Rfam family "Bacterial small subunit ribosomal RNA", at positions 32 to 791 of the family's 1533-position model. The record is from RNAcentral. Lineage: Bacteria; Pseudomonadati; Pseudomonadota; Alphaproteobacteria; Rhodobacterales; Roseobacteraceae.
GACGGUGCGGCAGCCUAAACAUGCAAGUCGAGCGAGAUCUUCGGAUCUAGCGGCGGACGGGUGAGUAACGCGUGGGAACGUACCCUCUUCUGCGGGAUAGCCACUGGAAACGGUGAGUAAUACCGCAUACGCCCUUCGGGGGAAAGAUUUAUCGGAGGAGGAUCGGCCCGCGUUGGAUUAGGUAGUUGGUGGGGUAAUGGCCUACCAAGCCUACGAUCCAUAGCUGGUUUUAGAGGAUGAUCAGCCACACUGGGACUGAGACACGGCCCAGACUCCUACGGGAGGCAGCAGUGGGGAAUCUUAGACAAUGGGCGCAAGCCUGAUCUAGCCAUGCCGCGUGAGUGACGAAGGCCUUAGGGUCGUAAAGCUCUUUCGCCUGUGAUGAUAAUGACAGUAGCAGGUAAAGAAACCCCGGCUAACUCCGUGCCAGCAGCCGCGGUAAUACGGAGGGGGUUAGCGUUGUUCGGAAUUACUGGGCGUAAAGCGCACGUAGGCGGAUUGGAAAGUAUGGGGUGAAAUCCCAGGGCUCAACCCUGGAACGGCCUCAUAAACUUCCAGUCUGGAGUUCGAGAGAGGUGAGUGGAAUUCCGAGUGUAGAGGUGAAAUUCGUAGAUAUUCGGAGGAACACCAGUGGCGAAGGCGGCUCACUGGCUCGAUACUGACGCUGAGGUGCGAAAGUGUGGGGAGCAAACAGGAUUAGAUACCCUGGU